CCUACGGGUGGCAGCAGUGAGGAAUAUUGGUCAAUGGACGAGAGUCUGAACCAGCCAAGUAGCGUGAAGGAUGACUGCCCUAUGGGUUGUAAACUUCUUUUAUAAAGGAAUAAAAUGUUCCACGUGUGGGAUUUUGUAUGUACCAUAUGAAUAAGGAUCGGCUAACUCCGUGCCAGCAGCCGCGGUAAUACGGAGGAUCCGAGCGUUAUCCGGAUUUAUUGGGUUUAAAGGGAGCGUAGGUGGAUUGUUAAGUCAGUUGUGAAAGUUUGCGGCUCAACCGUAAAAUUGCAGUUGAAACUGGCAGUCUUGAGUACAGUAGAGGUGGGCGGAAUUCGUGGUGUAGCGGUGAAAUGCUUAGAUAUCACGAAGAACUCCGAUUGCGAAGGCAGUUCACUGGACUGCAACUGACACUGAGGCUCGAAAGUGUGGGUAUCAAACAGGAUUAGAUACCCCAGUAGUC
This 460-nucleotide ribosomal RNA is filed under the name uncultured bacterium. RNAcentral's name for it is "partial 16S ribosomal RNA". It matches the Rfam family "Bacterial small subunit ribosomal RNA", at positions 338 to 795 of the family's 1533-position model. The record is from RNAcentral.